AUCAUUUCAUAAUGUGCAACAAUAAGCAAAAAAAAAAAGUUACACAAUGUAGUAGUAAACUCUGUUUGAUCGAUACAAGAAAUUUAUUUAUGAUAUUUUUUCAAAUAAACUCUAAGCUGGAGCAGGAGCACCAUGGCUAGAGCAAUGUUUCUCAACAUAGUUGUUAACGAAAGGGUUACGGAAGGAUCUGAAAACCGUAUGCUUACAAUUUUCAUUCAACGUCUUGAUCAUGGCACACCAUUCAGAACCAACGGUUGUUUUUUUGGUUAACGUCUUCAUCAAACAUUUUGUUACCAUCUUGUAACUGGAAAAGCACUCUUUUAAUUCCCGAUUUGGGCUGUGUUUGUGGAUAGCCGAGGGCGCCUGAGCGUAACCUGACCAUUGGAGCUCUUCGUCAUCUGUUGGGUCAAUGAAUUGAGAUGUUAAGCUUGAAAAAAGAAUUAUAGCAACAAAAUUGUGAGAUGCUUCAUUUCUUUGGAUUCUUUGUCGAUGUGAAAUUGAAAAUUGAGAAAAAAUAAAUAUGCUUUUAGUUUUGGAUGUCUUUAAGAUGAAACUACGUCAGGGUUUAUAUAGAAGUUUACAAUAAAUACUUUUAUAGGAUAUACAAACAAAAUAUAGAAAGAAUCAUGUCUAUAAUUGUUUAUAUUCGAUUAAGGACAUAAAUCUAAAAUUUGCAUGUUGUUAACCCAAAAAGAUUGUAUAAUAUCUUAAUGUUGACCAAAAAUAUGGUAUAAUAUCAUUAUAAUAUUCUGAGAUAAUAUCAUUUAAAUAGUAUUUGUGCUAAAUAAGUUUUGUAUAUAUUUGAAAUUUAUUAUAAUUUUGAUAAAUUAAAUUUUAGAUAAAAAUGGAUAGAUAAUUUUGAUUGGUUAACAAUAUAAGCAUAACAUUAAAUUUUAUUAAAUUAUAUUAAUCAUCUUAACACAUGCAUCUCCAUAUCAUAUAAAAAACAUGAUUUUAAAGAUUGAAUCAAGCAAUUUAGAUUUAAAUCCUAAUUUUUAUUUUUAAUUAUUUAAUUAAUUAAGUAAUAGGAUAAAUUUUAGUUGACGAGUCUUCAGUCAAAAUCAUAAGAACAUAAAAAAUAAGCAAAAUGAUUUAAAAGUAUGAAGAAUAUGACAAAUAGGUAAAAUAUCUGAUUUAGAUUUAUCCUAAUUCUUAUUUUACUUAUUUAAUUAAUUUUAAAUAAUAAGAUAAAUUUUAAUUGAUGAUUCCUCAAUCAAAAUCAUACGAGUUCGAUAAAUAAGAAAAUUAUCUAAAAUUAUGGUGAAUAUAACAAAUAAAGAAACUCGUUUUCAGAUAAUAAUAGUAUAGAUAGAAGAUGGACACCGUAUAACGAGGAAAAAAGUAACAAAUUAACAUCGCCUAUCACAAUAUUUUCAUUUGCACAAUAUUAUCUCAAAUUAAAAAAUAUCAAACAUUAGGAUAAGGUUCACAAAUUAAAUCUUAAAAAAUAACUAUGAACACAUGACAUAAACCCUUAAAAAAAACAGAGUUAUAAUUAAUUCAGAAUAAUCUUCUUUUUUUUUUUGAAGAGUUAUCAUUAAUUCAAAAUAAUCUUUUGUUAAAUGAUUCUGAUUAUAUUUGUUUUGUAUAGAAAACAACUAAAUUCUGCCAAAAGUAAUAAAAAUAGUAUGUAUUGAAAUAAAGCUGAUAACCAAAAAUAUUAUAGCGACAAAAAAAAAAAAAACCUAAAAAUCAUUAUUUUUUGAAGAUUUAAAAUUAUUCUUUUGCAAGUUCAACUAAAAGCUUGUAGUCACUGUUCUCUACUUUAUGUUUAAGCUUCAGUAGAAAACAAACCAUCAUACUCUACUGGAAAAGCCAAAAAAAAAAAAAACUUUCAAAUUAGCUUUUAAGUUUUUGAUGUAGCUUAUUUUGCUUCUGAUUUCUGUUAAUGUUAAAACAUAUAAAAAUUUACCAAAGUUUCAUAACUUCUAACUUCUCUUGACAAAAUUAAAAACAAUGUUGACAUUAUAUGGUUAAAUUAAAAAAAAACUUUGUUCGGCCAUUUACAACUUAUAACUUUUAUGUCGAAUGUCGAGUAAAGUGACAGUAAAUAAACAUGUGAUGGCCAGAGACUAGUGAUAAAGCAUUAUCAAUAAAGCAUUUGCAUUAAUUCGGAGAUUGAAGGUUUUUACUUUGUUGUUGUUGAACAAUUAAAGUUUCGUUUGAUUAGUACUUGAAUAUAUUUUGAUAUUAUUGUGACAUAUUGAAUAAAGUUUCUGUGUUUUUGUUAUUAGUUUGUCAUCCAUUACAAAUAAUAUUAGUGAGUCUAGUAAAUGCAUAAUAUUUGGCUUAUAAUAGAGUUCCUAAUUAUCUUCAAAUCAAAACAUUCUUAUUAUAAUUGAACUUUUAUAAUGUGCAACAAUAAGCAGAAGAAAAGUUACACAAUGUAGUAGUAAACUCUUUUGAUCGAUAUAAGAGAUUUAUUUAUGAUAUUUUUCAAAUAAACUCUAAGCCGGAGAAGGAGCAGUAGCAUCGUGGCUAGAGCAAUGUUUCUUAACAUAGUUAUUAACAAAAGGGUUACGGAACGAUCUGAAAACCGUAUGCUUACAACUUUCUUUCAAUGUCUUGAUCGUGGCGCAACAUUCAGAACCAACGGUUGGUUUUUCGGUUAACGUCUUCAUCAAACAUUUUGUUACCAUCUUGUAACUGGAAAAGCACUCCUUCAAUUCUUUAUUUGGGCUGUGUUUGUGGAUAGCGGAGGGCGCCUGAGAGUAACCCGACCAUUGGAGCUCUUCGACAUCUGUUGGGUCAAGAAACUGAGAUGUGACACAGCUUGAAAAGAGUACCACAGCAACAAAAAUGGAGAGAUUCUUCAUUUUCUUUUGAUGAUUUGUCGAUGUGAAAUUGAGAAAAAGUGAAUAUGAUUUUAGUUUUGGAUGACUUUAAAAUGAAACUACGUCAGAGUUUAUAUAGAAGUUUACAAUGAAUACUUUUAUAGCAUAUACAAACAAAACAUAGAAAAGAAUCAUGACUAGUUAUGUAAGAAAUUGUUUAUAUUCAAUUAAGGACAUAAAUCUACAAAAUUUGUAUGUUGUUAAGCCAAAAAAAUUGUAUAUCUUAAUGACCAAAAAAUGGUAUAAUAUAUUUAUACUAUUAUUUGAGAAGUAAAUUUGUUUAAUUAUCAUGUUCUCCAUGAUUUUAGGUUGAAUCAUUAGUUUUAAUAAACAACAUUAAUUAGACUAAUUAAAAAUAUUUAAUAAAUAAAUUAUAUAAUUAACUAUUUAACUGAUUACAGAUUUAUAUUGUUAAAAUUAUCUCAAAAUAAAAUAAAAAAAGUGUUUGAAAAAUAAAAGAUAAUUACAUGUAUUUAUUUUGUGUUUAUCUACAUCUUUCUUUCUUUCUUAUUUGUUAAUUUUUAUAAUUAGUAGUAUAUAUACACAUAUAAUAAUUAGAUCUAUCAUUAUACUAAAUAUUUAAAAUAGUUUUAUAAAAAAUAAAUUGUACAAAAAAGUUUGAUAAAAAUAACAAACAUUUAUCUAUAUUUGUUUGUAAAUGUAAUAUAUGAUGCCAUAUUUUUGAAAUUAUAAAAUUUAUUUUAGGAUUAAAAUACAAAAAGAGGUAUAUAAGCAAUAAAAAUAAAUUUGAUUUAUAUUUGUUUGUUAACAUGAUUUUUUUGUGGUAUUUUCAUUUUUAUUCUUCUUCAUGUUUUCAUUUUUAUUUUUUUAUUGUUCUUAUGAUUUUUCGUGGUAUUUUCAUUUUUAUUCUUAUUAUUCAGUUAAUAGAAUGAAAUUUAUUUUUUAUUUAAUUUGAAAAUUUUAAUAUUAUUUUUAUUGGGAAUGGAAUUAUCUUUUAAAAAAUAUUUUCUAAAUAUCUGCCUCUAAAAGAAUAUAUUUUCAAAAUGAAAGUUUUGAUUUACAACAAGUACCGUAUACAGUAUUUAUAAAAAUUAAAAAUUAACUUUAUUUACUUUUAAUUAUUUCGAGAGUUUCACAGAAUUAUAACGUUUUUUAAAUUAAAAUGUAAAGAAAAAUAGUAUUCUAUUUUUUAAUAAACUGCAAUUUUAAAAUGAUAUUUCUUAGUUAUAAUUUUUAAAGCUUAAAAGUUAAAAGACCAUUUAAUAAUAGCAAAUUAUGAUUUUAUAAUAAAGAAAUGCUAUUUUAUAGUAAAAUAGCAAUGUCUAUUUUAAAGUAAAAAUUUAGAUUGACUAUAGCUUAUUUUCUUUAUUAUAGAAUACAGAUAUACUAUUUUAUAGCACAAUAGUAAAAACAAAACAAAAAUAUUAUGAACAGGGGGCACUUUUUGUUUAUUCAGUAAACUAAAAACAAUUUAAUCAAAUAAGCUUAAAUUGUUUAGAAAAAUAAAAUAGUAGGGGUCACGUGCCCCCGUAAACCUAAGUAUGUGUCCGUCCCUGAUAGUACAUAAUAAUUAUCUAUCAAAGAAUUAUGUCUUUAUGUGCAGACAAAACACCUAAUAUCAUAAUAAUAUUCUAUGAUCACCUUAUAACGAGAAAAAAACAGCAAAUUAACAUCGCCUAUCAGAAUAUUCUCAUUUGCACAUCAUUAUACCCAAAAAUAAUAUUCAAAAAUUAGGAUAAGGUUCACAAAUUAAAUAUAAAAAUAUAACUACAUGACAUAUAAUACCCCUAAAUCCUCUUGUUAUAAGCACUUAGAAUACAAAGACAUAUACUCUUGCAAGUGGUAUUCGGAGUUAACCUUCCUACUUUGUCCACAUGGAUACAACGUUUCCAGUUUAGUUAGCAAGGUCUCCAUCUAAAAUGUUUAUGUUGAUGACCAAAAAGAAUCGUCAUUAAUUCAAAAUAAUCUUUGUUUCAAACUUAAUGAUGUGAUGCAGAUUCUAUUUGUUUUGUAUAGGAUAAAAACAAAAUUCUACCAAAAAUAAUAAAACUAAUAUGUAUUGAAAUAAAGCUGACAACCAAAAAUAGUAUAGCUACAAAAAAAGCUCAACCUAAAAUCAUUUUUUAAGUUUUAAAACUAUUCUUUUGAAACUUGCAAGCUCAACAAAUAAGCUUGUAGUCUCUAUUUUCUACUUUCUAUUUAAGCUUCGGUAGAAAACAAAUUUAUACUGGAAAAGGCCAAAAAGACAAACUUUGAAAUUAGAUUUUAAAUUUAUAUAGCUUAUUAUUCUUCUGAUAUAUGUUAAAGUUAACAUAUAAAAUAAUUAACCAAAGUUGCAUAACUUCUAAUUUCUCUUGAAAAAAAUUAAAAACAUUAUUGUCCGGAAAAUAUUAUAAAUCAAAAAACGUGUUCGGCCAUUUACAACUUGUAACUUUCAUGUAGAGUAAAGUGACAAGAAAAAUUGAAAAAAAGAGAGUAAUGGCCAGAGACUAGUGAAAACACGCAAUACAUUUGAAUUAUAGUAAAAUGUAAUAUAUGCGCAUUCAACCAUAUAAUGUAAAAAAAAGCAUAUAAUGUCAACGUGUAUUCCAAUGUCUAUUGCCCGCAUAUACAAUGCCAUCAGAGAAGAUUUUUCAAGAACACUCGCAGAGAGACUUGUGAUCGAUAUUGAGAAAGUGAUGCGUGAGCUCGAUGAGCUUCCUUCACGAGUAAUCCACAAAAUUUUGCUGGGAGAGGAGAAGAGUGAAGCUGACGGCGAUAACUUGAUGGUGACGGUGAAGAAUAGCGAUAUGGAGAAGCAGAGAGAGAUCAUCAAUGGCUGGAAGAAGUUUUCCGACAGGAAGAAGACAAAUGGUAUCUGUUAACUGAGUAAUAUAUAAUGAAAAUGUUUGGACUGCUUUAUCAAUAAUGCAUUUGCACUAAUUCGGAGAUUUGAAGGUUUUUUACUUUGUUGUUGUUGAACAAUUUGAUUAGUACUCGUAAUAUUUUUUGAUAUUAUUGCGACACUUUGAAUAAAGUUUCCGUGUUUUUGUUAUUAGUUUGUCAUCCAUUAUAAAUAUGAUUAAUGAGUCUAGUAAAUGCAUAAUAGUUGGCUUAUGAUAGUGUUGCUAAUUAUCUACAAAUAAAAAAACUUAUUAUAAUUGAACUUGUAUCAUAAUUUUAUAUUGUGCAACAAUAAGCAAAAAAAAGUUACACAAUCUAGUAAUAAUUAGCUCUUUUGAUCUAUGCAAGAGAUUUAUUUAUUAUAAUAUUUUUAUAAAUGAACUUGUAUCAUCAUUUUAUAAUGUGCAACAAUAAGCAAAAAAAAAAAAGGUUAGGCAAUGUAGUAGUAAACUUUUUUUGAUCGAUAGAAGAGAUUUAUUUAUGAUAUUUUUCAAAUGAACUCUAAGCCGGAGUAGGAGCAUCAUAGUUAGAGCAAUGGUUCUCGACAUAGUUGUCAACGAAAGGGUUCUGGAACGAUCUGAAAACAGUAUGCUUACAACUUUCAUCCAACGUCUUGAUCGUUGCGCAACAUUUAGAACCAACUGUUGUUUUUUUUAUUAACGUCUUCAUCAAACAUUUUGUUACCAUCUUGUAACUGGAAAAGCACUCCUUUAAUUGCUGAUUUGGGCUGUGUUUGUGGGUAGCCGAGGGCGCCUGAGCGUAACCCGACCAUUGAAGCUCUUCGUCAUCUAUUGGGUCAAUGAAUUGAGAUGUGACACAGCUUGAAAAGAGAAUUAUAGCAACAAAAAUUGUGAGAUUAUUCAUUUUCUUUGGAUUCUUUGUCGAUGUGAAAUUGAGAAAAAUGAAUAUGCUUCUAGUUUUGGAUGGUUUUAAGAUGAAGCUAUGUCAGGGAUUAUAUAGAAGUUUACAAUGAAUACU
This 6656-nucleotide long non-coding RNA is filed under the name Brassica napus (rape). RNAcentral's name for it is "long non-coding RNA (BNAP_LNC002048)". Lineage: Eukaryota; Viridiplantae; Streptophyta; Magnoliopsida; Brassicales; Brassicaceae. The record is from RNAcentral.